RNA transcript from Oryzias melastigma (Indian medaka), 2323 nucleotides. It is a transcript of the gene named linkage group 13 C6orf136 homolog, with no coding region annotated. Lineage: Eukaryota; Metazoa; Chordata; Actinopteri; Beloniformes; Adrianichthyidae. The record is from RefSeq and is a predicted model, not a curated record. The transcript is spliced from 8 exons.
CUCUCCGCCUCUGGUUUGCUUCCUUUUUCGGUCCCAGUGUUAUGGUGGCUGAAAUUCCGACGACAGUGAAGGCAACGUGACGCCGGGCCGCGUGAGGCGGGUUCAGCCUGAAGGACACUCGGGAGUCUGAGACGUCCGUGGAAGGUAGGUGGUUCGUGGCUGUACCCCACCUCAUCGGGCGGGCACGGAACCCAAGUCUCUCCGAACAGACACUGGCCUCACUGAGGUUCGGGGAAACCGGCGUCAGGUCUUCUGAACCCUCGGUACCGCCCGCCCGCGAGCUAGCCAGCUAGCUAGCUAGCCCAACAGAAGCUAGCACCAGUCGUCGGUCAGGAAGGCGUUUUCUCGAAGUCCGGUUCCGAUUCUGAGUCUCGGAGGAACCUGCGCACAGUUUGACCUGUGAUCGUCAAAACUCGUUGGUAGCGCUCAUCGUUGACGGUCUCCCCCUCUGCCCUUUGCGGCUGAUGCUCAGCUGCUGAGCGCGGUUGCUCCUGACCCAUGUGAUGAAUGGCUGCAAGCCGGGGAGGAGUGGCCUUCUGGGUGGGCUGCGUCUGCAGCAACGGCGCCAGGAAACCCGUCCAGAACCGGAGCUGGAGUCAGGUGGUUGACUGGCGAUGGCUCGGUCCGACUCGGCCCCUGAGCAGUGCGGUGUGGGCUCUGGCACCCCCCAACAGCCUGAGAUAUCAGAGCGUGAAGCAGCCGCUGCUGUCCCACCCGCUGCACCCGGCCAUCCGGCCGCAGAAGCUGGGCUGCGAUGAGGACUGGGAGGAAUCGCGCAGCGUGUGCGUGCUGGUGCUGCCCACAGAGUCGGAGCGCCUGCGCAGCUUGCUGGUUCAGCUUCCUGAGCUCAGACACACAAAGACAGCAGAGCUGCACUUUCUGAAGACUCGCCAGUCGUCUGCGUUCUCCUUCCCCCUGACAACGGUGGAUGGCAGCAGGGAGGAUGAUAUAAAUGUUCAGAGCCUGCAGAGGGACGUUGACCUGCAGGGGGAGCCAGACUGCUUUAGGAACCUGUUUGAGGCAGAGCGGUGUCCUGCUCCCUUCAUGUACGGCUCCCGCUUCUAUUGCUUUCAUUGCCCGAUCAGUCAUCUGCUACCCGACGGGAAGAUCAGAUCCUUCCAGGAUGGUGGACUUAGCAGGAGGCAGGAGGUGUCUUUGAUGCCAGCUGUGACUCUGUGCAGCCAAGUAAGCCAGGCAGACGGUCAACAAGGAGACCAGGAGGAGGAGGAGAGGCUGGCCCUGAUGCUGGAGAAACUGAGAAUUGAGCUUCCCAGCUUCUUUUUGACCAACCACGACUACAGCAUUUACUCUAACGACGUAGAGUUUAUCAAUGGCCUCCUCAACAUCAAGACCAGAGGCCGGCGGGUGUACCAGAUCACGCUGUCCAUGUGGCGCCUCCUGGUUCUGUGUUACUACGCCGAGGCUCGGCUAGACGUGCUCAAGCUCACCAAGCAUCCAGAGGACGGCACCAUCAAGGCUCGCUGGAGGAUCAGGGGCCUCCCCUUCCACUGUGUGCUGCUGCGCUUCUACCGCAAAGACAAAACCCACAUGUACAGGUCCUACGAUGCAUUUUCUACAUUCUAUGUGGGGCGGGAUGGACUCAUUCACUGUCACAAAGUCGAAAAGGUGAUGCCGGCUCAGCCCCCCGUCCUGCCCAGAGUGCAGGCCCUCCUAACCGGCGCUCUGGUCGCCCUGGGCGUGCAGGAGCACCGCCCCGCUCUCAACCUGCUGCCCCCCCUCCUGUCCUCACUGUGGCAGAGCAGAGACUGACCCCAGCCCACAGAAGGAACUCGCUUGUUUACAUUUGCAGAUUCACAGCAGAAGCUUCAGAACUCUGUCCUCCUCAGCUCCCAGGAUCACCCUCCUCCUCCAGAUGGGAGCUGAGUCAGCCCUCCUGCUUCCAGUUCUUUGGCUGUUUGUCGUUCUCUUGGCCUCAGAUGUAGGUUGUUUGCUGCACGUUUGUCACCGCUCUCCAUCCUGACAGUUCUAACGUGAAACUGCUGUGUUCUCCGUUUUUAAAGUGUAACGGUCCAUUAACACGCGUGAACGUCGGCCUGAAGCGCUGGAGCAUCACAGAAGCGGCCUCACUUCCAUCAUACUGAAGCAAACUGCUUCAGUGUCUCAGGUUUGAAUGUCUCAACAGGAUUUAGAUCAAGCUUCCUGACACCAGGUGGCGCAUUUUACUCCAGAAAAGUUUGAUCCCAGAUUCAAGAUGCCCUUCCAUCCCAUCAUAAUCUUCACAUCACCUUCCUCUUCAGCAGAUGGAGGCAGUCCUUCAAAUGAAGCAGAAGCUACACAAUAAAUGGACUCUGAGUGUUCAUUA